This 234-nucleotide ribosomal RNA is filed under the name uncultured bacterium. RNAcentral's name for it is "partial 16S ribosomal RNA". It matches the Rfam family "Bacterial small subunit ribosomal RNA", at positions 1267 to 1500 of the family's 1533-position model. The record is from RNAcentral.
GCCAACCACAGAAAAGCCAUCUCAGUUCGGAUUGUAGUCUGCAACCCGACUACAUGAAGCUGGAAUCGCUAGUAAUCGCAGAUCAGAAUGCUGCGGUGAAUACGUUCCCGGGCCUUGUACACACCGCCCGUCACACCAUGGGAGUCGGUAACACCCGAAGCCAGUAGCCUAACCGCAAGGGGGGCGCUGUCGAAGGUGGGAUUGAUGACUGGGGUGAAGUCGUAACAAGGUAUC